GAACGCUUGCUGCAUGCUUUAUACAUGCAAGUCGAACGAAGGCCCUAGCUUGCUAGGUGUCCUUAGUGGCGCACGGGUGAGUAACACGUGGGAACAUACCUUAUAGUACGGAAUAACUGCGGGAAACUGUAGCUAAUACCGUAUACUCCAGUAAUGGGAAAGAUUUAUCGCUAUAAGAUUGGCCCGCGCAAGAUUAGCUUGUUGGUGAGGUAAAAGCUCACCAAGGCUUCGAUCUUUAGCUGGUUUGAGAGGACGAUCAGCCACACUGGGACUGAGACACGGCCCAGACUCCUACGGGAGGCAGCAGUAGGGAAUAUUGGACAAUGGGGGCAACCCUGAUCCAGCAAUGCAGCGUGAGUGACGAAGGCCUUAGGGUUGUAAAACUCUUUCAUCGGUGAGGAUAAUGACAGUAGCCGAAGAAGAAGGACCGGCUAAUUCCG
This 440-nucleotide ribosomal RNA is filed under the name uncultured Alphaproteobacteria bacterium. Its description in RNAcentral is "bacterial SSU rRNA". It matches the Rfam family "Bacterial small subunit ribosomal RNA", at positions 31 to 505 of the family's 1533-position model. The record is from RNAcentral. Lineage: Bacteria; Pseudomonadati; Pseudomonadota; Alphaproteobacteria.